UGGGGAAUAUUGCACAAUGGGCGCAAGCCUGAUGCAGCCAUGCCGCGUGUAUGAAGAAGGCCUUCGGGUUGUAAAGUACUUUCAGCGGGGAGGAAGGGAGUAAAGUUAAUACCUUUGCUCAUUGACGUUACCCGCAGAAGAAGCACCGGCUAACUCCGCGCCAGCAGCCGCGGUAAUACGGAGGGUGCAAGCGUUAAUCGGAAUUACUGGGCGUAAAGCGCACGCAGGCGGUCUGUCAAGUCGGAUGUGAAAUCCCCGGGCUCAACCUGGGAACUGCAUUCGAAACUGGCAGGCUAGAGACUUGUAGAGGGGGGUAGAAUUCCAGGUGUGGCGGUGAAAUGCGUGGAGAUCUGGAGGAAUACCGGUGGCGAGGGCGGCCCCCUGGACAAAGACUGACGCUCAGGUGCGAGAGAGUGGGGAGCAAACAGG
This 429-nucleotide ribosomal RNA is filed under the name Chloroflexota bacterium. RNAcentral's name for it is "Chloroflexi bacterium partial 16S ribosomal RNA". It matches the Rfam family "Bacterial small subunit ribosomal RNA", at positions 355 to 776 of the family's 1533-position model. Lineage: Bacteria; Bacillati; Chloroflexota. The record is from RNAcentral.